This 404-nucleotide ribosomal RNA is filed under the name Actinomycetes bacterium. Its description in RNAcentral is "Actinobacteria bacterium partial 16S ribosomal RNA". It matches the Rfam family "Bacterial small subunit ribosomal RNA", at positions 355 to 776 of the family's 1533-position model. Lineage: Bacteria; Bacillati; Actinomycetota; Actinomycetes. The record is from RNAcentral.
UGGGGAAUAUUGGACAAUGGGCGCAAGCCUGAUCCAGCCAUGCCGCGUGAGUGAUGAAGGCCCUAGGGUUGUAAAGCUCUUUCACCGGUGAAGAUAAUGACGGUAACCGGAGAAGAAGCCCCGGCUAACUUCGUGCCAGCAGCCGCGGUAAUACGAAGGGGGCUAGCGUUGUUCGGAUUUACUGGGCGUAAAGCGCACGUAGGCGGACUAUUAAGUCAGGGGUGAAAUCCCGGGGCUCAACCCCGGAACUGCCUUUGAUAUUGGUAGUCUGGAGUUCGAGAGAGGUGAGUGGAAUUCCGAGUGUGGAGGUGAAAUUCGUAGAUAUUCGGAGGAACACCAGUGGCGAAGGCGGCUCACUGGCUCAAUACUGACGCUGAGGUGCGAAAGCGUGGGGAGCAAACAGG